This 592-nucleotide ribosomal RNA is filed under the name Streptomyces sp. Its description in RNAcentral is "bacterial SSU rRNA". The record is from RNAcentral. Lineage: Bacteria; Bacillati; Actinomycetota; Actinomycetes; Kitasatosporales; Streptomycetaceae.
AUGAAGCCUUUCGGGGUGGAUUAGUGGCGAACGGGUGAGUAACACGUGGGCAAUCUGCCCUUCACUCUGGGACAAGCCCUGGAAACGGGGUCUAAUACCGGAUAAUACUUCUGCCUGCAUGGGCGGGGGUUGAAAGCUCCGGCGGUGAAGGAUGAGCCCGCGGCCUAUCAGCUUGUUGGUGGGGUGAUGGCCUACCAAGGCGACGACGGGUAGCCGGCCUGAGAGGGCGACCGGCCACACUGGGACUGAGACACGGCCCAGACUCCUACGGGAGGCAGCAGUGGGGAAUAUUGCACAAUGGGCKAAAGCCUGAUGCAGCGACGCCGCGUGAGGGAUGACGGCCUUCGGGUUGUAAACCUCUUUCAGCAGGGAAGAAGCGAAAGUGACGGUACCUGCAGAAGAAGCGCCGGCUAACUACGUGCCAKCAGCCGCGGUAAUACGUAGGGCGCAAGCGUUGUCCGGAAUUAUUGGGCGUAAAAGAGCUCGUAGGCGGCUUGUCGCGUCGGAUGUGAAAGCCCGGGGGCUUAACCCCGGGUCUGCAUUCGAUACGGGCAGGCUAGAGUGUGGUAGGGGAGAUCGGAAUUCCUGGUGU